CAACUUUCUUGUUCUUCAAGACGUAAAACAUACUAGAAUAAACUCUGUAGAAUAUACAAAAAAAUACAUAUUUUCCCAUGAAAAUUUUAUUUAUAAUAAAUAGAAGGGAACACGUGUGUGGCUGAUCCCGAUAAUGCUCCGUGUCUGCUUAGGUUUUCAGACUGUUGAUUUAUUUUUAAUCUCUCUAAAGAAUGGGGGAGUUCCUUCUCCCCUAAAAGGUCGAGAUAAAUAAUGCAUGAAGCAAUCCUCCCUCCUGAUUUUUCCCUUUUCCUCCACAUUUUUCCUUUUGAUAGAGAGUUCAGCCUAAAUUUCCACGCUUGCAUUCAAUCAUUACAAAGCCUACAAAUUAUACAAUGACUUCUAACCUGCCCCUCUAACAAAACAAGUUUUUUUCCCCUUAUAAAUCAUAAGAGACAGAUGGCAAAAUGGGGAAGAAAGAGGAAAGAGAAGGACAGGACAAUAGGCAUUGUGACGAAUCUGGGAAACAGAACAAAGUGCACAUCAGAGAGGGAAAGUUUGGUUUGACAGGUGAAAUUCCCACAGCCUGCAGACAGCAAUGGGAAUAAAGCAGAUGCCAGCCAUUGCAAAUCUGUGGAUAAUAUUAUUACCAGUAAAAUCAUUCAGAUGCUAAGAUACAUUUCUUUCUACUCGACAUUAACAUCUCUAUGUAGAAGCAAAGGUGAAGAGAUCACAGGAACCAGUUGCAUUCCCCCCGCGAGAUUCACACGAACUGCUCCAAGUCCUCCGGCGUUACAGAGAAAGGGGAGGAGCGUCAGUCCGCUCUGCAAACUCUUUCGAUAUGCCACCAUCAUCUCUUCCCAGCGUCUUUUUCGUCUCAAGAAGCGCCUCCAAAACGGCACCCUUCACUUUGACAAUAAGCUCCGUCACACCUUCAAUAAAUCAGAGCCCAUCUGAAUGAAUGAGACCCAAAGCCAGGAAAUGCAAGAAACAAGCAAGGAAUCAGAACGGCUACACCUGCCCUUCGAAGAAGGUAACAAGACGGAUUGGAAGGCACAAAGCAAAGAAAAUGAAAAUUAUAAUCCUAUGAAAAGGAGCAUUGCCCAUUGCAGUUCAACCUACAGACUUCCCUCUGUCUUGUAAUUAUUUGAAAACUAUCAUGAUUUCCACUUUGCUCUUUGUGUUUUCAUGUUCUCCCUUUUUAAAGUAAAUUCCAUUCCCAAAAUAUAAAAACAUCAUCUGCCAGUUUCCUCCUCAAUUCUUUUAGAACAGCUUUAUUUCAUUUGUUAGAAGUGCAGAAAUAAAAAGAAAGCAAAAAGGGAGACACUUUCAGUGUUCAUAGCCCACAGCACCUGUCUCACACAUUUUUGGGUUUCUGUCAUUGUAUCAUGAACCUGCAGAAUCAGAACUUCAUAAAAAGUUUGACCAAGCAA
Molecule: long non-coding RNA, 1391 nt
Organism: Sapajus apella (tufted capuchin)
Lineage: Eukaryota; Metazoa; Chordata; Mammalia; Primates; Cebidae
Exons: 2
Source: RefSeq, a predicted model, not a curated record